Long non-coding RNA from Schistocerca nitens (vagrant locust), 630 nucleotides. RefSeq lists it as uncharacterized. Lineage: Eukaryota; Metazoa; Arthropoda; Insecta; Orthoptera; Acrididae. The record is from RefSeq and is a predicted model, not a curated record. The transcript is spliced from 3 exons.
CUUCGACUAGUUUUGCAUCAGGUGGGGGAAUUCGUAAAUACUUAAUCCACAAUGCCAACAGUAUAGGGGCGAGAAAUGAAAUUGGUACUGUACAACACAAUGCUUCUGAUAAACACAAAUAGAGACCAUACAAAACGUCAAGGGAAUGCUUCUGUGGACCAAAAAUGCUUACUAGCCAGCAUAAAGAGCAAAGAAUGUCAAGCAAACGAGCAUUUCUACACCACUACUGGCCGUAAGGAGAUAAGUCAUUUUCCUACAUUCUCACAGAUUGAGAAUUGCUAUACAGAAGGACUGAGGAACCUAGUGCUACAUUACAGGCAGUGCCAAAGUGCUUAGAAGUGAACAGCAAUUACACAGAAAAGGGUAACAGGUUUGUUGGAAGCUAAAACCAUCAACAAAAGCUUUUUCUAAUGAAUAUUUUUUUAAUGGUGUAAUAGCCAGACUGAUGUGUCUGCAAGAUAUUGAACUGCUUCAUAAAGUAAAUAUGCAACAGUUUUGAGUGAAUCACACUUAUUUUCUUUGAUUAGUCUGACUGUGGUGGUAGAAAAUCAUAUUUAACCAAAUUUCUAAUAUAUUUGCAUUUUGCUUAUUUUAAUGGAUAUAGUUCACAAGGAUCCAUAACAUAGUAAU